GUCUGCUCCACUGUAAAGUGGGUAUAAUAACAUCAACCUCAUUCGUGAGAGUCAAAGGAGAUAUUCCUAAAGGGCUUUGCUUCAAUGGCAAAGUGCUCCAUAAUUGCUCCCUAUUACUACUAUUCUUCUCAUCACCAUCCUAAGGAAAAUGGCCCUAAUUAUGAGAAGAGGCAGCCAAGGAAGAUUUGGCUUCAAAUCCCACCUCAGUUACUUGCUAGUUCCAAGGCUCAGACAAGCUUCCUGACCUUUUGGGCUCCCUGAGCUCUUGAGGUCUUUUCUUCAUUCAGAGAGCUACUCCCAAGGUAAUGGGCUGUCUAGAGGAUGAGGUGAGGACAAGGCCUUCCCCCCCACCCCCGCUCCAUUGUACUGGGGCCAUCUUACUCUGAGGACUGAUUCUAAGAUUGACACCUCAGAAAUGAGCAAACGCUACAAGUCAGCAUGUGCUUGGUGGUUCAGAGGAGUAUUACUAAUGCAGUCAACUUCUGGGAGGCCAGUUGUUAAACAUUUUACAAGGAAACCUCUGCCUCUUCAUUGGAAGCCUUCAAACAAAGGCUAGAGAACCAUGGAGUGUUCCGACAUCACAGAAGGGAUUCUUAUUCAGGCAUGGCUUGGCCUCUGGGCCUGGGAAGCCAGAGGCCGGGUUCUAAGAGGUUUCCAUCCCUGUUGGUAAACAGAGAGCUCCUCAUCAGCUGGCGAGUUCCCUGGCAGUGUUGGGAGAUGGACAGCAGAUCCUUCCCCAGUGGGUCCUGGAGAUUACUGUGGACUCCAAAGCAACACCUGGAGGUACCAUGCUAAGGAAGUCCUAGGAGUACAGCAAAAGAAAGCAAGCCCCUUUGACUCUUCAGGACAACACACAGAAGAGGAUGCUGGCUAUUCCAUGCAAAAAUCUGUACUGAGAUAUACAGUGUCCAUGGAAGGUAGCUUUAAAUUGGAGAUGUAGGACUUUGGUUGAUUCACUACCAUGGGCCUCUAUAAAAUGAGGGAGUUAGUCUAGAUGGCAUAAGAAGCCCCUUCUGCCUCCAGCUCUAGGAUCCUGUAAACAUGGUCCCAGAACAGGUCAGACCAGCAGAAGCCCUAGUUCAGUGAUGGUGAACCUUUUAGAGACCAAGUGCCCAAGCUGCAACCUCACUCCUAUUGGGCAGCUGGGCAGAGGGGCCAUGGAUGAGAGAAAUGUCCUCAAGCAUGGUGGAGAUAGGGAGGGGCAGAGGGGGGAGGGAGGGAGAGAGGAAAGCAGAGAAAGAAAAGC
Molecule: long non-coding RNA, 1246 nt
Filed under: Monodelphis domestica (gray short-tailed opossum)
Lineage: Eukaryota; Metazoa; Chordata; Mammalia; Didelphimorphia; Didelphidae
Description: lncRNA (ENSMODG00000050007.1)
Source: RNAcentral